RNAcentral lists this ribosomal RNA (493 nucleotides) under uncultured bacterium. RNAcentral describes it as "bacterial SSU rRNA". It matches the Rfam family "Bacterial small subunit ribosomal RNA", at positions 15 to 507 of the family's 1533-position model. The record is from RNAcentral.
GAUCAUGGCUCAGGAUGAACGCUGGCGGCGUGCUUAACACAUGCAAGUCGAACGAAGCAAUCUAACGGAAGUUUUCGGAUGGAAGUUAAAUUGACUGAGUGGCGGACGGGUGAGUAACGCGUGGGUAACCUGCCUCACACUGGGGGACAACAGUUAGAAAUGACUGCUAAUACCGCAUAAGCGCACAGGACCGCACGAUACAGUGUGAAAAACUCCGGUGGUAUGAGAUGGACCCGCGUCUGAUUAGCUAGUUGGUGAGGUAAAAGGUUCACCAAGGCGACGAUCGGUAGCUGGUCUGAGAGGACGACCAGCCACACUGGGACUGAGACACGGCCCAGACUCCUACGGGAGGCAGCAGUGGGGAAUAUUGCACAAUGGGGGAAACCCUGAUGCAGCGACGCCGCGUGGAGGAAGAAGGUCUUCGGAUUGUAAACUCCUGUUGUUGAGGAAGAUAAUGACGGUACUCAACAAGGAAGUGACGGCUAACUACGUG